Molecule: non-coding RNA, 84 nt
Organism: Xyrichtys novacula (pearly razorfish)
Lineage: Eukaryota; Metazoa; Chordata; Actinopteri; Labriformes; Labridae
Source: the annotation of a GenBank genome assembly
GGUAUGGAAUCCUGCGGUAUCCAUGAAACAACCUUCAACAGCAUCAUGAAGUGCGAUGUGGACAUCCGUAAGGACCUCUACGCC